GGUUAAGCGACUAAGCGUACACGGUGGAUGCCCUGGCAGUCAGAGGCGAUGAAGGACGUGCUAAUCUGCGAAAAGCGUCGGUAAGGUGAUAUGAACCGUUAUAACCGGCGAUGUCCGAAUGGGGAAACCCAGUGUGAUUCGUCACACUAUCGUUAACUGAAUACAUAGGUUAACGAGGCGAACCGGGGGAACUGAAACAUCUAAGUACCCCGAGGAAAAGAAAUCAACCGAGAUUCCCCCAGUAGCGGCGAGCGAACGGGGAGCAGCCCAGAGUCUGAAUCAGCUUGUGUGUUAGUGGAACGGUCUGGAAAGUCCGACGGUACAGGGUGAUAGUCCCGUACACCAAAAUGCACAGGCUGUGAACUCGAAGAGUAGGGCGGGACACGUGGUAUCCUGUCUGAAUAUGGGGGGACCAUCCUCCAAGGCUAAAUACUCCUGACUGACCGAUAGUGAACCAGUACCGUGAGGGAAAGGCGAAAAGAACCCCGGCGAGGGGAGUGAAAAAGAACCUGAAACCGUGUACGUACAAGCAGUGGGAGCACCUUCGGGUGUGACUGCGUACCUUUUGUAUAAUGGGUCAGCGACUUAUAUUCUGUAGCAAGGUUAACCGUAUAGGGGAGCCGCAGGGAAACCGAGUCUUAACUGGGCGUUAAGUUGCAGGGUAUAGACCCGAAACCCGGUGAUCUAGCCAUGGGCAGGUUGAAGGUUGGGUAACACUAACUGGAGGACCGAACCGACUAAUGUUGAAAAAUUAGCGGAUGACUUGUGGCUGGGGGUGAAAGGCCAAUCAAACCGGGAGAUAGCUGGUUCUCCCCGAAAGCUAUUUAGGUAGCGCCUCGUGAACUCAUCUUCGGGGGUAGAGCACUGUUUCGGCUAGGGGGUCAUCCCGACUUACCAACCCGAUGCAAACUACGAAUACCGAAGAAUGUUAUCACGGGAGACACACGGCGGGUGCUAACGUCCGUCGUGAAGAGGGAAACAACCCAGACCGCCAGCUAAGGUCCCAAAGUCAUGGUUAAGUGGGAAACGAUGUGGGAAGGCACAGACAGCCAGGAUGUUGGCUUAGAAGCAGCCAUCAUUUAAAGAAAGCGUAAUAGCUCACUGGUCGAGUCGGCCUGCGCGGAAGAUGUAACGGGGCUAAACCAUGCACCGAAGCUGCGGCAGCGACACUAUGUGUUGUUGGGUAGGGGAGCGUUCUGUAAGCCUGCGAAGGUGUGCUGUGAGGCAUGCUGGAGGUAUCAGAAGUGCGAAUGCUGACAUAAGUAACGAUAAAGCGGGUGAAAAGCCCGCUCGCCGGAAGACCAAGGGUUCCUGUCCAACGUUAAUCGGGGCAGGGUGAGUCGACCCCUAAGGCGAGGCCGAAAGGCGUAGUCGAUGGGAAACAGGUUAAUAUUCCUGUACUUGGUGUUACUGCGAAGGGGGGACGGAGAAGGCUAUGUUAGCCGGGCGACGGUUGUCCCGGUUUAAGCAUGUAGGCUGAUUGUCCAGGCAAAUCCGGAUAAUCAAGGCUGAGGUGUGAUGACGAGGCACUACGGUGCUGAAGUAACAAAUGCCCUGCUUCCAGGAAAAGCCUCUAAGCAUCAGGUAACAUUAAAUCGUACCCCAAACCGACACAGGUGGUCAGGUAGAGAAUACCAAGGCGCUUGAGAGAACUCGGGUGAAGGAACUAGGCAAAAUGGUGCCGUAACUUCGGGAGAAGGCACGCUGGUGUGUAGGUGAAGUCCCUGCGGAUGGAGCUGAGACCAGUCGAAGAUACCAGCUGGCUGCAACUGUUUAUUAAAAACACAGCACUGUGCAAACACGAAAGUGGACGUAUACGGUGUGACGCCUGCCCGGUGCCGGAAGGUUAAUUGAUGGGGUUAUCCGUAAGGAGAAGCUCUUGAUCGAAGCCCCGGUAAACGGCGGCCGUAACUAUAACGGUCCUAAGGUAGCGAAAUUCCUUGUCGGGUAAGUUCCGACCUGCACGAAUGGCGUAAUGAUGGCCAGGCUGUCUCCACCCGAGACUCAGUGAAAUUGAACUCGCUGUGAAGAUGCAGUGUACCCGCGGCAAGACGGAAAGACCCCGUGAACCUUUACUAUAGCUUGACACUGAACAUUGAGCCUUGAUGUGUAGGAUAGGUGGGAGGCUUUGAAGCGUGGACGCCAGUCUGCGUGGAGCCAACCUUGAAAUACCACCCUUUAAUGUUUGAUGUUCUAACGUUGGCCCCUUACCGGGGUUGCGGACAGUGUCUGGUGGGUAGUUUGACUGGGGCGGUCUCCUCCCAAAGCGUAACGGAGGAGCACGAAGGUUAGCUAAUCCUGGUCGGACAUCAGGAGGUUAGUGCAAUGGCAUAAGCUAGCUUGACUGCGAGCGUGACGGCGCGAGCAGGUGCGAAAGCAGGUCAUAGUGAUCCGGUGGUUCUGAAUGGAAGGGCCAUCGCUCAACGGAUAAAAGGUACUCCGGGGAUAACAGGCUGAUACCGCCCAAGAGUUCAUAUCGACGGCGGUGUUUGGCACCUCGAUGUCGGCUCAUCACAUCCUGGGGCUGAAGUAGGUCCCAAGGGUAUGGCUGUUCGCCAUUUAAAGUGGUACGCGAGCUGGGUUUAGAACGUCGUGAGACAGUUCGGUCCCUAUCUGCCGUGGGCGCUGGAGAAUUGAGGGGGGCUGCUCCUAGUACGAGAGGACCGGAGUGGACGCAUCACUGGUGUUCGGGUUGUCAUGCCAAUGGCACUGCCCGGUAGCUAAAUGCGGAAGAGAUAAGUGCUGAAAGCAUCUAAGCACGAAACUUGCCCCGAGAUGAGUUCUCCCUGAGACUUUAAGUCUCCUGAAGGAACGUUAAAGACGAUGACGUUGAUAGGCCGGGUGUGUAAGCGCAGCGAUGCGUUGAGCUAACCGGUACUAAUGAACCGUGAGGCUUAACCUU
Molecule: ribosomal RNA, 2902 nt
Filed under: Klebsiella pneumoniae
Lineage: Bacteria; Pseudomonadati; Pseudomonadota; Gammaproteobacteria; Enterobacterales; Enterobacteriaceae
Description: 23S ribosomal RNA
Rfam family: Bacterial large subunit ribosomal RNA
Source: RNAcentral